This 321-nucleotide ribosomal RNA is filed under the name uncultured Sandonidae. RNAcentral describes it as "SSU rRNA". It matches the Rfam family "Eukaryotic small subunit ribosomal RNA", at positions 634 to 955 of the family's 1831-position model. The record is from RNAcentral. Lineage: Eukaryota; Cercozoa; Glissomonadida; Viridiraptoridae.
GAUUUCUGGCUUGAAACAUUAAGCCGGCCACGGUUUCGUGUGUUAGUGCUUGAUGUUCUGGCCAUCCUUCCAAUCGCUAUUCAUCUUUCUUCAUUGAUGGGUGAGUGGUAUUGGAUCUUUUACUUUGAAAAAAUUAGAGUGUUUAAAGCAGGCUAUUGCUAUGAAUACAUUAGCAUGGAAUAAUAAUCUAGGACUUCGGUUCUAUUUUGUUGGUUUCUAUAACUGAAGUAAUGAUUGAUAGGGAUAGUUGGGGGUGCUAGUAUUCAGCGGCCAGAGGUGAAAUUCUCGGAUUCGCUGAAGACUAACUUAUGCGAAAGCAUU